Molecule: long non-coding RNA, 2382 nt
Organism: Neoarius graeffei (lesser salmon catfish)
Lineage: Eukaryota; Metazoa; Chordata; Actinopteri; Siluriformes; Ariidae
Exons: 4
Source: RefSeq, a predicted model, not a curated record
AAAGCGUACAGCUACCGCUACCAGUGAGUAAGCUUUGUUGGUUGUACUUGUACCAGCAUUUGAUUCGCGCUGUGUUCGGUCUGGGAGCUGUUUCAGCUGUGUAGGCAGCGUGUGGUGGGCUCAUGCUCUCAACGGAAGCGUCUUUAUUGGGAGGCUAACUACCGUAGCCUGCUUGUCCGUACACUCGUAUCAGCAUCUGGUAUGCUGUUGUGCCCAUCCUGGGAGCUGCUUCUGGGUAACCGUUUGUGGUGUGUGUCUCUGAGCAUUUGGCUCACUCGGUUUCUGCGUAUAUUGGUAUUUAUCAUCGGGCUUCGGGCUGCCGGGCGCUGCGCUGCGAUUGGGCCUGCUCUACGGAUCUUCGUAUCCACCUCUUCUGUUUUCGGCUGCUGUUCUGCUCUUGAUUCAUUGGGCUACGGCCCUCACGCUGUAGUAUAGGAACGUUGUUGUGCGGCCGCACUCAAUUGAGGGGCCACACCUCAUGGUAGUAGCCGCCGCGAGUGAGUGAGGGCUCAUUGUAAUGAGUGUGUGUGGUUUAGUGUUGCCACCUGUCCCGGUUUUUCCUUAUUGUCCCGGAUUUUCAUGGUCUGUCCCGGAAAAAAAAAAAUCCGGGACACUGAAUGUCCCGGUUUUUUGUACAUAAUGGGCAAAAUGUGUAUUUCAACUUGCGAGCCAGCUGAGAACCAGUUUGCUUUCCCGAGCUCGCCGUGCUAAGCGGAGCCACGUCAUUACGUCGCUGAAUACGUCAUUACGUCACUGUAUACGUCAGUUACGUCGCUACGUUUGCAUAAACCUUGGCGCGAAUAUCAAAGCAAAAACAACACGGAAGAAGCAGCAACAACAACAAUAAUAAUAAUGGAUGACUUGGCGUUUGUACAGCUGCUGCUUCUCAUCGCCUAAAAAUGGUGAUCUUUCGCGGUCUUUUUAUUGUUGUUGGUCUUAACAACUCCGCCCCCCCGCUGACGUAAGCGGUUCUUUCCUCUGGCCCAGCAGAGAGUUGGUGCUAUCCUGGAACCGGUUUUUCUGGCCCCAGAGCCAGUUCUUUGUCAGUGGAAACAGAAAACCCGGUUCCAAACUAAGCACUGGCCCCGAACCAGCCCUGGAACUGCUUUGGUGGAAAAGGGGCAAUGGAGGAUGCUUGGACUGAUAAAAGAAACAGACUCUCUGUUGCAAUGGUGAAGGCUGAGCUUCAAGUCAGGCUAAACUUUCAGUUGUCCUGUACUGAGUUCAAGACAUUCAUUAAAAAUCAGCCAGGACUCAUAGCAGCAGCAAAGAAAAACACCAAAUAUAAAUGGAAGAUUAGGUAAGGUUUUGGUGAAUUAAAUGAAAGUGUAGUGUAGUACAUACUCCUGUAUGUGCCCAGUUAUAUCAGUUACAUGUCCUCCUAUGUAUUUGUUUAGCCAAGAGCAGCAGAGACACAGGUAAGCACAAGCAAAGCACACACCACACUCUAAGCAAUCAGGUAAGCUGUUUAACACUACACCUUACAUUGUUACAUUCAGGUAUUCUUAGAUACAAUGAAAAGUUAGAUUAUUUAUUUUUAUUCCACAUAAGCAAACAAACAGAACUUAAUUACAGUAUGUACGUAUUCCCCUUUUACCUGUGCCCACUACUGCCCCAGGUGUCCACAACCAAAAACUGUUGGAAAUAAACCAAAAUAAUGAAGACCUGCUAUAUUAUGUAAAGCAAUUAACUAAACAAAUAACUAGCAAAAGCGUCAUUUUUACUAAUUAAAGCAAUACAAUUUCAGCAUAGAAGGGCGAUUUUUGUCUUGGGUUAGAUGUGCGAAGGGCGCCGUUGCUUACAAGCAAAAAGGUCGGUUGGAUGGUCGAAAUGUCCAGGAUUUUUGUCAGACACAGGUGGCAACCCUAGUGUGGUUGUAUGUUUAUGUGGAGGUGAGUGAGUGUGAGUUGGGUGUGAAGCGGGUGUUAGCUGCCCGCUAGUAGGUACAGUGUUUGUGUUUGUUUUGGUUUUUGUAUUUAUUUUGGUUUGUUUUGUGUAUUUUGUUUGUAUUUCUUUUGUACUUAUCUCGUGGCGCAUUGGUUGUGCUACAGGGUUUGGGUGGGCUUCACGUUUGUCCUCACGAAUGCUGUACUGGUUAAGGUGUUUUGCUGUGCCCUUUUUUGGGGGGGGAUGUAAUAUUUGCUGUGCCCUUGGGGAUUUGAUAUUUGCUGUGAUUUGGUGUAUAGCGUGCUCUGUGUGUGUGCUAUCACUUGAGUCGUGAAUUGCCGAUUAUCGGCUCUGUGGGCUUGGCCGGCACCACGAAUCUGUGUACACAUAUUUUUUUAUUUUUUUUAAUUUUAUUGUUGUACUGUACCAUUGGUGGGCCAAUUAACCCUCACCCCCACCCUGGUGGGUGCAUGUGUGUGUGGACUGUGCACUACC